RNAcentral lists this long non-coding RNA (1011 nucleotides) under Salmo trutta (river trout). RNAcentral describes it as "lncRNA (ENSSTUG00000043733.1)". The record is from RNAcentral. Lineage: Eukaryota; Metazoa; Chordata; Actinopteri; Salmoniformes; Salmonidae.
AUGGAUCAUUGUUAUUCUAACUUCCGCGACGCAUAUAAAGCCCUCCCCCGCCCUCCUUUUGGAAAAUCUGACCACGACUCCAUUUUGUUGCUCCCAGCCUAUAGACAGAAACUAAAACAGGAAGCGCACAUGCUCAGGUCUGUUCAACGCUGGUCUGACCAAUUGGAUUCCACGCUUCAAGAUUGCUUCGAUAAUAAUAUUGAUGAAUACGCUGAUUCAGUGAGCAAGUUUAUUACCAAGUGCAUUGGUGAUGUUGUACUCACAGCGUCUAUUAAAACAUUCCCCAACCAGAAACUGUGGAUAGAUGGCAGCAUUCACGCAAAACUGAAAGCGCGAACCACUGCUUUUAAUCAGGGCAAGGUGACCGGAAACAUGACCGAAUACAAACAGUGUAGAAAUUCCCUCCACAAGGCAAUCAAACAAGCUAAGCAUCAGUAUAGAGACAAAGUAGAGUCGCAAUUUAACGUCUCAGACAUGAGAGGUAUGUGGCAGGGUCUACAGUCAAUCACGGACUACAAAAGGAAAACCAGCCCCGUCGCGGACCACGAUGUCUUGCUCCCAGACAAACUAAACAACUUCUUUGCUCACUUAGAGGACAACACAGUGCCACUGACACGGCCCGCUACCAAAACCUGCGGGCUCUUCUUCACUGCAGCCAAUGCGAGUAAAACAUUUAAACGUGUUAACCCUCACAAGGCUGCAGGCCCAGACGGCAUCCCCGCCCGCGUCCUCAGAGUAUGCGCAGACCAGCUGGCUGGUGUGUUUACGGACAUAUUCAAUCAACCCUUAUCCCAGUCUGCUGUUCCCACAUGCUUCAAGAUGGCCACCAUUGUUCCUGUUCCCAAGAAAGUGAAGGUAACUGAGCUAAAUGACUAUCGCCCCGUAGCACCCACUUCCAUCAUCAUGAAGUGCUUUGAGAGACUAGUCAAGGACCAUAUCACCUCCACCCUACCUGACACCCUAGACCCACCCCAGACGACGCAAUCGCAAUCACACUGCACACUGCCCUAA